GAUGGAAUACGCCGGUGGGAAUGUACCGGAGAACUCAAAAUCCGGUAGGGGCAACCCUGUGCGGGUUCAAGUCCCGCCUCCGGCACCA
This 88-nucleotide transfer RNA is filed under the name Deltaproteobacteria bacterium. RNAcentral describes it as "tRNA-OTHER". Lineage: Bacteria; Pseudomonadati; Myxococcota; Myxococcia. The record is from RNAcentral.